ACAAUUAUAAUUUAAUAAAAAAAAUAUUUGACUUCCAAUCAUAAAAUGUAGAUAACUUCUACUAAUUGUA
RNAcentral lists this transfer RNA (70 nucleotides) under Oopsacas minuta. Its description in RNAcentral is "tRNA-Gly". It matches the Rfam family "tRNA". Rfam says of the family: Transfer RNA (tRNA) molecules are approximately 80 nucleotides in length. Their secondary structure includes four short double-helical elements and three loops (D, anti-codon, and T loops). Lineage: Eukaryota; Metazoa; Porifera; Hexactinellida; Lyssacinosida; Leucopsacidae. The record is from RNAcentral.